This 375-nucleotide ribosomal RNA is filed under the name uncultured eukaryote. RNAcentral's name for it is "partial 18S ribosomal RNA". It matches the Rfam family "Eukaryotic small subunit ribosomal RNA", at positions 592 to 976 of the family's 1831-position model. The record is from RNAcentral.
CAAUAGCGUAUAUUUAAGUUGUUGCAGUUAAAAAGCUCGUAGUUGGAUUUCGGUUAAGAGCGACCGGUCCGCCGUUUGGUGUGCACUGGUUGGUUUUAACUUCCUGUAGAGGACGUGCUCUGGGUUUAACGACCUGGACUCGGAGUCUACGUGGUUACUUUGAAAAAAUUAGAGUGUUCAAAGCGGGCUUACGCUUGAAUAUUUCAGCAUGGAAUAACACUAUAGGACUCCUGUCCUAUUUCGUUGGUCUCGGGACGGGAGUAAUGAUUAAGAGGAACAGUUGGGGGCAUUCGUAUUUCAUUGUCAGAGGUGAAAUUCUUGGAUUUAUGAAAGACAAACUUCUGCGAAAGCAUUUGUCAAGGAUGUUUUCAUUAA